GCGGCUGUGGCGGAAUGGCAGACGCGCUACUUUGAGGGGGUAGUGAUCUUUCGAUCGUGUGAGUUCAAGUCUCACCAGCCGCACCA
RNAcentral lists this transfer RNA (86 nucleotides) under Dialister histaminiformans. RNAcentral's name for it is "tRNA-Leu". It matches the Rfam family "tRNA". Rfam says of the family: Transfer RNA (tRNA) molecules are approximately 80 nucleotides in length. Their secondary structure includes four short double-helical elements and three loops (D, anti-codon, and T loops). RNAcentral also lists the same sequence under 7 other names. The record is from RNAcentral. Lineage: Bacteria; Bacillati; Bacillota; Negativicutes; Veillonellales; Veillonellaceae.